RNAcentral lists this Y RNA (101 nucleotides) under Microcebus murinus (gray mouse lemur). Its description in RNAcentral is "Y RNA (ENSMICG00000043001.1)". It matches the Rfam family "Y RNA". From Rfam's summary of the family: Y RNAs are components of the Ro ribonucleoprotein particle (Ro RNP), in association with Ro60 and La proteins. The Y RNAs and Ro60 and La proteins are well conserved, but the function of the Ro RNP is not known. In humans the RNA component can be one of four small RNAs -- hY1, hY3, hY4 and hY5. The record is from Rfam by way of RNAcentral. Lineage: Eukaryota; Metazoa; Chordata; Mammalia; Primates; Cheirogaleidae.
GGUUGUCCGAGUGCAGUGGUGUUUACAACUAAUUGAUCACAACCAGUUAUAGAUUCCUUUGUUCCUUCUCCACUCACACUGCUCCACUUGACCAGCCUAAA